AUCCUUCUCUUCUUUUCAUCUCCUCCUUUAUCUCUUUCCCUCCUCCAGUUCAUUGGGUUUUGCAGACAAGAAGAGCAUGCCUGCUUGUUCCUCCUAAUAGCUACUCAACUCAACUAUUCUUGCUGCUUCAUCCUGAUUCUUCUUCUUCUUCUUCCUCUGCUGCUGCUGCUUGGUCUUGCUAGGUCUCAGUAGACUCUGAUAGUCUGAUGGAUUUGUGGUCCUCCAUGUCCUUGCUUUCACUGCUUCCUAGGACCCUUAGCAAAUGGCAAUGCUACUCCUAAACUUGU
Molecule: long non-coding RNA, 287 nt
Filed under: Oryza brachyantha (malo sina)
Lineage: Eukaryota; Viridiplantae; Streptophyta; Magnoliopsida; Poales; Poaceae
Description: long non-coding RNA (OBRA_LNC000169)
Source: RNAcentral